AACGAACGCUGGCGGCAUGCCUAACACAUGCAAGUCGAACGAAGUCUUCGGACUUAGUGGCGCACGGGUGCGUAACGCGUGGGAAUCUGCCCUUGGGUGCGGAAUAACUUCUCGAAAGGGAUGCUAAUACCGCAUAAUGUCGUAAGACCAAAGAUUUAUCGCCCAAGGAUGAGCCCGCGUAAGAUUAGCUAGUUGGUGGGGUAAAAGCCUACCAAGGCGACGAUCUUUAGCUGGUCUGAGAGGAUGAUCAGCCACACUGGGACUGAGACACGGCCCAGACUCCUACGGGAGGCAGCAGUGGGGAAUAUUGGACAAUGGGCGAAAGCCUGAUCCAGCAAUGCCGCGUGAGUGAUGAAGGCCCUAGGGUUGUAAAGCUCUUUUACCCGGGAUGAUAAUGACAGUACCGGGAGGAAUAAGCCCCGGCUAACUCCGUGCCAGCAGCCGCGGU
RNAcentral lists this ribosomal RNA (448 nucleotides) under uncultured bacterium. RNAcentral's name for it is "bacterial SSU rRNA". It matches the Rfam family "Bacterial small subunit ribosomal RNA", at positions 29 to 521 of the family's 1533-position model. The record is from RNAcentral.